GGAAGGUUUACAUGUUCCUUCAUGCUUCCAUUUAAUAUUGACGGAUACAAAGUUGAAUGAUUGCAUUCAACUCAUUGUUCUGGUGGCGUAAAUUCUGUAUGUAAGGAAAAGGUCAACAAAAAAAGGACUGUGGAACAGGGGAGCCAAGGAGGUUAAGGGAUGACCUGAUGGAGAUGCUCAAGAUUACAGGGUUUUUGAUAAAGAUGUUAUUCUAUCCUCUCCUGUGGUGUGGAUUCCAUUAUAUUUCCUACCACCGAUGUCAAGCUGAUUGGUCUACAGUUCCCUGGGCAUGGUCUGUCCCUUUUCUUAAAUAUAGGAAUUA
Molecule: long non-coding RNA, 322 nt
Organism: Carcharodon carcharias (great white shark)
Lineage: Eukaryota; Metazoa; Chordata; Chondrichthyes; Lamniformes; Lamnidae
Exons: 3
Source: RefSeq, a predicted model, not a curated record